CACCCCUUUUCUCUUCAGCCAAGGCUGGAGGCCAAGAUCAGCCCUCAGGGAUCAUCAUCAGGACUGCCAUGAGCUGAGCUGCCUUGUUUUCCUGCCGCAAACAUGU
This 106-nucleotide small nucleolar RNA is filed under the name Pan paniscus (pygmy chimpanzee). The record is from RNAcentral. RNAcentral also lists the same sequence under 1 other name. Lineage: Eukaryota; Metazoa; Chordata; Mammalia; Primates; Hominidae.